Molecule: long non-coding RNA, 689 nt
Filed under: Homo sapiens (human)
Lineage: Eukaryota; Metazoa; Chordata; Mammalia; Primates; Hominidae
Description: HSALNT0148584
Source: RNAcentral
UGUCACUCCUGACAUCUCUGCCCACAGCCUCUGCCCCAUCCAUCCUGCAACCAGGGACCCGAUUAACCUCCUAAGCAGCAGUUGAUCAAAACAUUCCUUUAUCUGAAACCUUCUAUGGUUCCUUAUUGCCAUUAAGAUUCCUUAACAUGGAAUGCUUUCAGGGCUCCAGAAUCUGUCCCCAGAUUUUCCUUCAAUUAUUCAUCUUGCUGAGCUCUUCAGACUCCAACUAAUUUACUCACUGUCCCCAAAACAUGCCAAACAUUUUCCCACCUCUGAACUUUUACAUGACACUAACAUUAGACCCUCAUUAUUGACUCUUCUAAACGUUCCCCAUAUUUCAAAACUGAGCUCCAAGCCACCUCUGUGAAAUCAUCCGUAAACACAUCAGCUAUUCCUCCAAUUUUGAGUGUAUACUUGUUUGUUGCUUUUGCAUAAUAUGUAAUGCCUCCUCUAGCAAGGGAAUCACAGGAGAGUUUCUCCCAAAGUCAUGCAUUUCCCCAAAAAGAAUGCUGUCUGUUCCGGAGCUACUACUGUUGUGAGCAACUAAAAGUUGUCUUCCUUGGGCUCUCUCAUAGUAGUCCCUGCCCCUCUUUUCCUCAUGAGACUAUGUCAAGGCUAAUGUGAAAAUACUUCAUGCACUGUUGCCAAUGUAUGUUAGGGAUGAGCAUAAAACAACAGACAAGGGGAAA